This 502-nucleotide ribosomal RNA is filed under the name uncultured bacterium. RNAcentral describes it as "bacterial SSU rRNA". It matches the Rfam family "Bacterial small subunit ribosomal RNA", at positions 29 to 520 of the family's 1533-position model. The record is from RNAcentral.
AGCGAACGUUUGCGGCGGGCUUAACACAUGCAAGUCGAACGAGAAUCCCUUCGGGGAGGAAAGUGGCGCACGGGUGCGUAACACGUGGAUAACCAACCCAUUGGUUUGGGACAACACCGGGAAACUGGUGCUAAUACCAGAUGUGUCGCAGCUGUCUUCAGGCGGUUGCGAGAAAGGCCCGCAAGGGUCGCCAACGGACGGGUCCGCGUCCCAUCAGCUAGUUGGUGAGGUAAUGGCUCACCAAGGCAAAGACGGGUAGCUGGUCUGAGAGGAUGAUCAGCCACACUGGAACUGAGACACGGUCCAGACUCCUACGGGAGGCAGCAGUGGGGAAUAUUGCGCAAUGGGCGAAAGCCUGACGCAGCCACGCCGCGUGAGCGAUGAAGGUCUUCGGAUCGUAAAGCUCUGUGGAGAGGGACGAAAACCCUGGUUUCAAAUAGGCUCCAGGCUUGACGGUACCUCUUUAGCAAGCACCGGCUAACUCUGUGCCAGCAGCCGACGG